Non-coding RNA from Cephalotus follicularis, 121 nucleotides. Lineage: Eukaryota; Viridiplantae; Streptophyta; Magnoliopsida; Oxalidales; Cephalotaceae. The record is from Rfam.
GUUUGUGAUCAUAUUAGCACUAGUACACGGGAUUCUAUAGGAACUCUGAAGAUAAGCGUGCUUGGGCGAGAAUGGUACUUAUUGAUAUGUCACAUAUGAUUUCUAUCAGUGAUGACGAAGU